Delphinapterus leucas (beluga whale) is the source of this 2406-nucleotide long non-coding RNA. RefSeq lists it as uncharacterized. The record is from RefSeq and is a predicted model, not a curated record. Lineage: Eukaryota; Metazoa; Chordata; Mammalia; Artiodactyla; Monodontidae.
UGGUUGUUUGGGGCUCUGAGCCUGAAGGGAGAGGUUAAGGAUGGAUGACAGCCGCUGUCAGACCCCAGAAAGCCGCUUCUCCAACUCCUCUGGGACGCGGCUGCAGCAAACUGCACUGCGGGUCAGCUGGCUGCAGGACUGACUGCUCCUUCCUGGGCUUCGAAACCACUUCAGAUGUAUGUCUCCUCUGGGCAUCCCCGAGCAAACUCCCACCUCCAGAGCCGCUUCGGCUGGUCCUUCCUCCAGAAGGGACCUCGGGAGCCAGGUGUGUCUGUGUCAAGGGGAGGGCAGCGGGAGUGGGGGGUACCAAGAACUGAGAGCACCUGGAAGGUCCCAGACUUCGGAUGUCACACCUGGAAUUAAUGACCCCCAGCUCUGUUACUUCCGGAUCUCCCCAUUUUGUCAUCGUAGAACGGCGGCACCUGGCACACGUGGGAUCCAAGUGUCGGCCCAUCUCCGGAUCUUUGGGAGACCAGCAGGAAAUGGCAGUUCCUAGAGGCUGUCAUCUGAUACACAUCGAGGAGAUGGCGGGGGCAGAAGCCGACCCUGGGUGAGCCUGGCAGGGAGGGCUGUGACCAGGCGUAUCCCUGGGCUCCCGGCAGCACACCGCACCCUGCCUAGAGGCUGGCACGCCUCGGCGCCCCCCAGUGGCCACAUUUGGGGAGAAGCCCGUUUCUCCCUGGACCUCCUGCGCAAGUUUGCUCAACCGACUGGCUUGGCUUCCGCAAACCUCAGCAAUGCUUCCAGCCACUAGGAGUGAAGAGUCUGGAGGACCCCCACCUCGUUGAGGGCGUCAGGGGAGGCUUCUGGGAGGAGGCGAUGUUUGUGCUGAGAGAAUGGUUUCAAGCCCACCUGUUGAAGGCAGUGUGUCCCUCUGUGAGUGGCUGAGGGUCCACCAUGGAUGGCCGGGCAUCUGGCUGUGGAUGCCCUGUGCUUGGAGGGUCGGGCAGAUGCUGUGCUGCAGGACUCAGCGUCCCAGGGAAGAAGGGUGACCCUGCUCUGAUUCCACUGCCCCCAGAAUGGUAGAAGCUUGCCCAUCGUUGGUGCCUUGGUAACUUGAGGUGAGUUGGGGGUGGGUGUAGAGGGCAGGGGGUAGGAGAACUUGUCCCUCACAACUCUCCCUGUCCCUCUUGCUUGCCCUGGGUCUGCUCCUCUCACACCCCCAGGCCAUCUGUCCGCAUGGGUCAGGUGGACACCUCAGAGGUGGGGGAGCUUGGGGAUGGAGCCACAUGGGUGGGGGAAGAAUCCUGACCCCAGGGGGGACUGGGAUGGAGGGGAGGAGUCUUCUGUGGAGCUGAAGAAGGUCCCUUCCCAGUACCGUUCCUGUGGAAUCCUCAAAAGAAUGUGGGUCUCCUUCUCUAUAUAUGUAUAAUGGAAUCACUUCGCUGUACACCUGAAACUAACACAACAUUGUAUAUCAGCUAUAUUUCAAUAAAAAUUUUUAAAAAAAGAACGUGGGUCUCAUGGGAACAGCAGGGGACCCCAAGCUGAGACCCUGCUGACCUCAUCACCUUUAACCUCAGAGAUGGAUGGAUGCCCUCAGCUCAGAUAGAGACCCCAUUCCUGAGCCAGGUGAACUGGUGGGGAGGGGUGGAGCUUGUCCCAGGCUGGGAGCAGGGUCUCUGGGCAUCAGGCCUGAAGGGAGGAGAUUGGGGCCAGGCCAGGCCCAGAGUGGUUGACAUGUUUUGCCUCUGUGUGUGUGCCAUGCCUGCAGAUGGACACACAGGUGGGUGGACACACAGGUGCACGCCUGCCUGUGUACACACACAUCUGGAUAAAUGGCACCUGGCCGAGGACCCCUGGCCAUCCAUGGUGGACCCUCAGCCAUGCACUUAUUGAGCAUCUACUGUGUGCCAGUCACUUUCCAAGCCCACCAUGUGGGUAAGCUCAUUGAUUGCGAUGAUUAUCUCCACUUUCCAGAUGGAAAAGGUGAGGCCCCAGGAGGACAAGAAACUUGCUUUAGAUCCCAGCUGCUGGGCAGAGGUGGAGUUGGGAUUUGAUCCCAGGCACCUGGGUCUGCUCUAGACAUUGGGGACACAGAGGGGACCCACCUUUGCCCUCCAGGGGAUGUCAUUGUAAUGUCAUUGUAAUGGCAAAGACAGACACUACACAAGUCAAUCAGUCAGUAACAAGAUGGGAGGUAGUGAUAAGUGCCCUGAAAGCAAGAAACAGAGAGUGAAUUGAGGAGGGGGUGUGGUCACUCAGCCUUGGGGUCAGAGGAGGCCUUUCUGAGGAGGUGACUUUGAGGAGAGACCUGAGGAGGUGAUGGAGGGAAGUGUGUGACAUCUGGGGGAAGAGUGUUCUAGGCAGAGGGAACAGCCUGUGCAAAGGCCCUGGGGCAGGACUGUGCCUGGUGUGUUGGAGGAACAGUGAGGAGGCCCGUGUGGCUGGAUCAUAGAGAGUGAG